UAGGUCUCAGACUUUCCACACA
RNAcentral lists this non-coding RNA (22 nucleotides) under Rattus norvegicus (Norway rat). The record is from RNAcentral. Lineage: Eukaryota; Metazoa; Chordata; Mammalia; Rodentia; Muridae.